AACGAACGCUGGCGGCAUGCCUAACACAUGCAAGUCGAACGAGACCUUCGGGUCUAGUGGCGCACGGGUGCGUAACGCGUGGGAACCUGCCCUUAGGUUCGGAAUAACUCCCCGAAAGGGGUGCUAAUACCGGAUAAUGUCUUCGGACCAAAGAUUUAUCGCCUUUGGAUGGGCCCGCGUUGGAUUAGCUAGUUGGUAGGGUAAAAGCCUACCAAGGCGACGAUCCAUAGCUGGUCUGAGAGGAUGAUCAGCCACACUGGGACUGAGACACGGCCCAGACUCCUACGGGAGGCAGCAGUGGGGAAUAGUGGACAAUGGGCGGAAGCCUGAUCCAGCAGUGCCGCGUGAGUGAUGAAGGCCUUAGGGUUGUAAAGCUCUUUUACCCGGGAUGAUAAUGACAGUACCGGGAGAAUAAGCUCCGGCUAACUCCGUG
RNAcentral lists this ribosomal RNA (433 nucleotides) under uncultured bacterium. Its description in RNAcentral is "partial 16S ribosomal RNA". It matches the Rfam family "Bacterial small subunit ribosomal RNA", at positions 29 to 507 of the family's 1533-position model. The record is from RNAcentral.